UCGAUCCCACUUUGAGCUUUCAUCUGGCCACACAGCUCAGCAUCAUCAGGGAAGUUAUUUCUGAGAAAUCCUCCCCCUCUCUGUGUUAUUUAUGAGCCGUGUGAACUGCAGAAUGUCUGGAACAGACCCCCGUGGAUUGUCACUAGUCACCACUCAUCCUUACAGAGCCAAAUCUAUUGAUCUCUCUUCAUGGGAGCAACUGACUCAUACCCUCACUCCCCGACGAGUGAAACACAAAAAUAGAAGCUGUAACCUUUUCGAAGAGUGGGAGCAAGAGGAGGAACAUAAACCCCAUUCUCCCCAUCACUGACCAGACCAACAAUCACUCUUCAAGUCUACAGUUUGCGAGUUUUUCUUUCAGAUGUGAAAGUACCCAACACACAUAAGGAUUGGGAAUGAAAAACGUGGGGCUUUCUUUGAAGAUAUGGCUCGUUACAGACAACAUUCAAAGGGAGUUACACGCAGUACAUCUGACCUUGAGUACUGCUUUGAGAAUGGCUGGCCAGUACAGCAUUGGACUAAUACAGC
Molecule: long non-coding RNA, 528 nt
Organism: Rhincodon typus (whale shark)
Lineage: Eukaryota; Metazoa; Chordata; Chondrichthyes; Orectolobiformes; Rhincodontidae
Exons: 3
Source: RefSeq, a predicted model, not a curated record